RNAcentral lists this ribosomal RNA (616 nucleotides) under uncultured Gemmatimonadota bacterium. Its description in RNAcentral is "bacterial SSU rRNA". It matches the Rfam family "Bacterial small subunit ribosomal RNA", at positions 1 to 632 of the family's 1533-position model. Lineage: Bacteria; Pseudomonadati; Gemmatimonadota. The record is from RNAcentral.
AGGAGUUUUGGAUCCUGGCUCAGGACGAACGCUGGCGGCGUGCUUAACACAUGCAAGUCAAGGGGGCCCAGCAAUGGGCAACCGGCGAACGGGUGCGUAACACGUGAGCAACCUACCGAACUGUGGGGGAUAGCCGGCCUAACGGCCGAGUAAUACCGCAUACGCUUUCAGCGAGGCAUUUCGUUGAAAGGAAACCUACGGGACAGAUCGAGGGGCUCGCGGCCUAUCAGCUAGUUGGCGAGGUAACGGCUCACCAAGGCAACGACGGGUAGCUGGUCUGAGAGGAUGGCCAGCCACAUUGGGACUGAGAUACGGCCCAGACUCCUACGGGAGGCAGCAGUGGGGAAUCUUGCGCAAUGGCCUAACGGCUGACGCAGCGACGCCGCGUGUGGGAUGAAGCUCUUCGGAGUGUAAACCACUGUUGCCCGGGACGAAUAGCUCGAUUAAUCGAGCCUGACGGUACCGGGUGAGGAAGCACCGGCUAACUCCGUGCCAGCAGCCGCGGUAAUACGGGGGGUGCGAGCGUUGUCCGGAAUCACUGGGCGUAAAGGGCGCGUAGGUGGUUUGAUAAGGGUGUGGGAAAGUCCGGGGCUCAACCCCCGGAUCUGCCGGCCGA